UGAGUAACACGUGAGUAACCUGCCUUGACUUGGGAUAACUUCAGGAAACUGGGGCGUAAUACCGGAUAGGAGCUCCUGCUGCAUGGUGGGGGUUGGAAAGUUUCGGCGGUUGGGGAUGGACUCGCGGCUUAUCAGCUUGUUGGUGGGGUAGUGGCUUACCAAGGCUUUGACGGGUAGCCGGCCUGAGAGGGUGACCGGCCACAUUGGGACUGAGAUACGGCCCAGACUCCUACGGGAGGCAGCAGUGGGGAAUAUUGCACAAUGGGUGGAAGCCUGAUGCAGCAACGCCGUGUGCGGGAUGACGGCCUUCGGGUUGUAAACCGCUUUCGCUCAUGACGAAGCUUCGUGUGACGGUAGUGGGUAAAGAAGCGCCGGCUAACUACGUG
RNAcentral lists this ribosomal RNA (386 nucleotides) under uncultured bacterium. Its description in RNAcentral is "bacterial SSU rRNA". It matches the Rfam family "Bacterial small subunit ribosomal RNA", at positions 107 to 507 of the family's 1533-position model. The record is from RNAcentral.